RNAcentral lists this ribosomal RNA (975 nucleotides) under Triticum aestivum (bread wheat). RNAcentral's name for it is "partial small subunit ribosomal RNA". Lineage: Eukaryota; Viridiplantae; Streptophyta; Magnoliopsida; Poales; Poaceae. The record is from RNAcentral.
AUGGGGAGGCCACCUUCUAGUGAUGAGAAUGGCCUCAAGAAGGGCCCCUGGACUACUGAAGAAGACGAGAAGCUCAUGAGCUACAUCCAGAAGCAUGGCCAUGGAAGCUGGAGAUCCCUACCUCAACUUGCUGGCCUGAACAGGUGUGGUAAGAGCUGCAGGCUAAGAUGGACCAACUACCUGAAGCCAGACAUCAAGAGAGGGAAGUUCUCCCAGGAGGAAGAGCAAACCAUCCUCCAGCUGCAUACCGUCCUUGGCAACAAGUGGUCGGCUAUUGCGAAGCAUCUCCCUGGACGGACAGACAACGAGAUCAAGAACUUCUGGAACACCCACCUCAGGAAGAAGCUCAUCAAGAUGGGCAUCGAUCCGAUGACCCACCGUCCGAGAACAGACUUCUUUGCUGCUCUCCCGCAGCUCAUUGCACUCGCCAACCUUCGGCAGUUCAUCAAUCAGCAACCAUGGGAUGACCACACCGCCGGGCUGCAAGCUCAGACAGCACAGGCUGCCAACCUCCAGUACGUGCAGUCACUGCUUCACUCUGCAGCCUCCAUUGCUGCCAGCCCCACUACCAGCAGCAGCCUCAACAGUCUCACCAUGGACCUGGAGCAGAUCAACUUCUUGAGCCCUCCGCAGAUGCUUUCUCCAAGUGUACUUGAGGGUAAUGGUGGCAUAGACUUAGCAGGGCAGGUGGCUCAGAACCAAAUGCCUAGCAUUACCUUUGAUCACACAAUUGGCAACAUCAACCCGGGUUCAGAUAACCAUGUUGAAACCAGUGGGCAGCACCGCAGUGAGGAAGAGAAUAACAGCAAGAAAAGGCAGUUUCUCUCUGAAAACUCCCUUCCACCUCUCACUGACAUGGCGGCUUCCAACAUUUGCAAUACCAUCAGCACCUCAAACUGCGACGGCGUUAGUAGUCCGUUUCCCAGUUGGUCAGAAAUCCUACUUGAUGAAGAGCUGCUGAGCGAGUUUGCAUGA